RNAcentral lists this transfer RNA (77 nucleotides) under Spirochaetota bacterium. RNAcentral's name for it is "Spirochaetes bacterium tRNA-His". It matches the Rfam family "tRNA". From Rfam's summary of the family: Transfer RNA (tRNA) molecules are approximately 80 nucleotides in length. The record is from RNAcentral. Lineage: Bacteria; Pseudomonadati; Spirochaetota.
UUGAGCGAAGUUGAAGUGGUCGAUACGCCUGGCUGUGACCCAGGAGGAAGCGGGUUCAAGUCCCGUCGCUCACCCCA